This 253-nucleotide ribosomal RNA is filed under the name uncultured bacterium. RNAcentral's name for it is "partial 16S ribosomal RNA". It matches the Rfam family "Bacterial small subunit ribosomal RNA", at positions 524 to 776 of the family's 1533-position model. The record is from RNAcentral.
UACGUAGGGUGCGAGCGUUGUCCGGAAUUACUGGGCGUAAAGGGCUCGUAGGUGGCCAACUAAGUCAGAUGUGAAAUCCCUCGGCUUAACCGGGGAACUGCGUCUGAUACUGGAUGGCUUGAGUUCGGGAGAGGGAUGCGGAAUUCCAGGUGUAGCGGUGAAAUGCGUAGAUAUCGGGAGGAACACCAGUGGCGAAGGCGACUACCUGGCCUGUUCUUGACGCUGAGGCGCGAAAGCUAGGGGAGCAAACGGG